GGCAAACGGGUGCGGAAGCACGUACGCAAUCUUCCAUUAAUUGGUGAAUAGCCUCUCGAAAGAGAGAUUAAUACACCGUAACAUAUAUGUGAGGCAUCUCAUAUAUAUUAUAGCUCCGGCGAUUAAUGAUGACGUGCGGCUGAUUAGGUAGUUGGUAGGGUAACGGCCUACCAAGCCAGCGAUCAGUAACUGGCGUGAGAGCGCGACCAGUCACACGGGCACUGAGACACGGGCCCGACUCCUACGGGAGGCAGCAGUAAGGAAUAUUGGUCAAUGGACGCAAGUCUGAACCAGCCAUGCCGCGUGCAGGAUGAAGGCCCUCUGGGUUGUAAACUGCUUUUGUCUGGAAAGAAAUCCCCUUUUUUAAGGGUGUUGACGGUACCAGAAGAAUAAGCACCGGCUAACUCCGUGCCAGCAGCCGCGGUAAUACGGAGGGUGCAAGCGUUAUCCGGAUUUACUGGGUUUAAAGGGUGCGUAGGCGGAUUAGUAAGUCAGUGGUGAAAGCUCCGAGCUUAAC
Molecule: ribosomal RNA, 517 nt
Filed under: uncultured bacterium PHOS-HC44
Lineage: Bacteria; Pseudomonadati; Bacteroidota
Description: bacterial SSU rRNA
Rfam family: Bacterial small subunit ribosomal RNA
Source: RNAcentral